CUACGGACCAAAGAGGGGGACCUUCGGGCCUCUUGCCAUCGGAUGUGCCCAGAUGGGAUUAGCUAGUAGGUGGGGUAACGGCUCACCUAGGCGACGAUCCCUAGCUGGUCUGAGAGGAUGACCAGCCACACUGGAACUGAGACACGGUCCAGACUCCUACGGGAGGCAGCAGUGGGGAAUAUUGCACAAUGGACGCAAGCCUGAUGCAGCCAUGCCGCGUGUGUGAAGAGGGCCUUCGGGUUGUAAAGCACUUUCAGCGAGGAGGAAAGCCAAUAGCUUAAUACGNUGUUGGAUUGACGUUACUCGCAGAAGAAGCACCGGCUAACUCCGUGCCAGCAGCCGCGGUAAUACGGAGGGUGCAAGCGUUAAUCGGAAUUACUGGGCGUAAAGCGCACGCAGGCGGUUUGUUAAGUCAGAUGUGAAAUCCCCGCGCUUAACGUGGGAACUGCAUUUGAAACUGGCAAGCUAGAGUCUCGUAGAGGGGGGUAGAAUUCCAGGUGUAGCGGUGAAAUGCGUAGAGAUCUGGAGGAAUACCGGUGGCGAAGGCGGCCCCCUGGACGAAGACUGACGCUCAGGUGCGAAAGCGUGGGGAGCAAACAGGAUUAGGUACCCUGGUAGUCCACGCUGUAAACGAUGUCGAUUUGGAGGUUGUGCCCUUGAGGCGUGGCUUCCGGAGCUAACGCGUUAAAUCGACCGCCUGGGGAGUACGGCCGCAAGGUUAAAACUCAAAUGAAUUGACGGGGGCCCGCACAAGCGGUGGAGCAUGUGGUUUAAUUCGAUGCAACGCGAAGAA
Molecule: ribosomal RNA, 793 nt
Filed under: Serratia sp. (in: enterobacteria)
Lineage: Bacteria; Pseudomonadati; Pseudomonadota; Gammaproteobacteria; Enterobacterales; Yersiniaceae
Description: bacterial SSU rRNA
Rfam family: Bacterial small subunit ribosomal RNA
Source: RNAcentral